AGAGUAUGAUCCUGGCUCAGGACGAACGCUGGCGGCGGGCUUAACACAUGCAAGUCGAAGGAGAAGGAAGGAGCUUGCUCUUUCUGGAGACUGGCGGACGGGUGAGUAACGCGUAGCCAACCUGCCUUUAGCUGGGGGAUAACAUUCCGAAAGGGGUGCUAAUACCGCAUAAUGCAGCGGGGCCGCAUGGCCACAGUUGUUAAAGGUUUCGACCGGCUAAAGAGGGGGCUGCGUGCUAUUAGUUAGUUGGUGAGGUAACGGCUCACCAAGGCGAUGAUAGCUAGGGGGUCUGAGAGGAUGAUCCCCCACACUGGGACUGAGACACGGCCCAGACUCCUACGGGAGGCAGCAGUGAGGAAUCUUGCGCAAUGGGCGAAAGCCUGACGCAGCCACGCCGCGUGCCGGAUGAAGGCCCUAUGGGUUGUAAACGGCUUUUAAGCAGGAAGAACGACCGGAUUUCGAUCUGGUGUGACGGUACUGCUUGAAUAAGCACCGGCUAACUCCGUGCCAGCAGCCGCGGUAAUACGGAGGGUGCAAGCGUUGUCCGGAAUCAUUGGGUGUAAAGGGUGCGUAGGCGGGCGUCUAAGUCUGGGGUGAAAU
This 600-nucleotide ribosomal RNA is filed under the name uncultured marine bacterium. RNAcentral's name for it is "bacterial SSU rRNA". It matches the Rfam family "Bacterial small subunit ribosomal RNA", at positions 8 to 600 of the family's 1533-position model. The record is from RNAcentral.